This 636-nucleotide ribosomal RNA is filed under the name Massalongia carnosa. RNAcentral's name for it is "SSU rRNA". It matches the Rfam family "Bacterial small subunit ribosomal RNA", at positions 1 to 1090 of the family's 1533-position model. The record is from RNAcentral. Lineage: Eukaryota; Fungi; Ascomycota; Lecanoromycetes; Peltigerales; Massalongiaceae.
AGCUAAACGCACUAUUUUAUAGUGUAGUAUCGACCCUGUCGAAUAAAAUUCUAGGUAGAGUUAUGAUAAUGACAUUAUCUAUCUAUGUGUCUUGACCAAAUUACGUGCCAGCAGUCGCGGUAAUACGUAAAAGACUAGUGUUAUUCAUGAUUAAUAGGUUUAAAGAGUACCUAGACGGUUAAUGAAGCCCCUAAAGGGUACAUAUUAACUAGAGUUAUAUGAAAGGGAGCUUUGAGGUACUGUUGAGUGUAGAGAUGAAAUUCGUUAAUACCAGAUAAGUGGCACGGAUCUAUGCGAAGGCAUCUCCUUAUGUAAUAACUGACGUUGAAGGACGAAGGCUUUUGAAGUGAAGAGGAUUAGAUACCCUAGUAAUCCAAGCAGAAAAUGAUGAAUGUCAUAGGUUGAAUAAUAUAUUUGGUCUAUAAAUGAAAGUGUAAGCAUUCCACCUCAAGAGUAAUUUGGCAACAUUGAAACUGAAAUCAUUAGACCGUAUCUGAAACCAGUAGUGAAGUAUGUUGUUUAAUUAGACGGUCCGCAAAAAACCUUACCACAAUUUGAAUAUAUAUUUUAAUUAAUAUUUACAAGCGUUGCACGGCUGUCUUCAGUUAAUGUCGUGAGAUUUUGGUUAGUUCCAUU